UGAGCAAGCUCAACGUGGAUGUAAAUGACUUUUGGGCUCAUUGUAAUACGAGGCAAGGCUAGGCAGGGCUAGGUAAUGAAUAUGUAUAGGUGUAUUGGGAAACUUAAUGAAUAUGUUUGUAACCUGAUAUACGCCAAGCUGAAUGGAGCUGUCAGCACGCAUGACCUUGGAGGAACUAUUUCCCAUGCGUCCCAGCGCUGGAAUAAACAUACCUACUUUACUACUUAGUGGAGUCUUUUCCGUGUAUCAUUUGGCGAGCCAGAUAGGAGGAACUCUGUCCGGCUGCAGGAUCGGCUGAGGAGCGGACGUCCUAGGCGCACCCCGGGGCUUUCCUGGAGGAACUCUGCCUCUUGGCUCGCUCACUGCGGGGGCAGACAGCAACCUGCUGGGACUGCGGAUAAAGGGUAUGUUCUGGAUUUAGGGUGUCUGUAAGUCGUACGUGUGGCCACGGCUGCUGGUAAGCUGCGCAGAGACGUCUGGCAUACAGCAUAGUCCCUGUGUGGGUAAAGGUGGGGCUUGCAAGCAACCGGCUACCGGAGCCGGCAAGGGGGAAUCACCGACCGAUAGAGCAGCUGCUAGCGAUCCUGGGAGCGGAUCGGGUGAUUCCAGGGCGGGGGGGGGGGGUUCUGCCAGAACUUGUUGAUGAUCGUAUUGAGGAAAAUAAAUAAGCGGGAGCCUGAGGUUAUUAAAAGUGAGUGUUAUGAAUAUUUUAGCUACUAGUAGCUGGUUUGAAUGUUGUUGGGUCGCUUAUAUGUCUGUGUGGAUAUUGGUUGUUGUUGGACUGCUUUUAUGUGUAUGUUGUCGUGUGUUGUUUGAGUAUGUAGUAUUUAAGCAUUUGUUUGGAGCCGUGCUAGAUUACUGAUUAUUGUGCUAAUAGAAUUAGAAUUGUGGCUAGGCGAGAGGUUAGAAGAACCCCUCCCCCUCAGUAGUUUGGUCUUGAUUCUUGGAAAUUUGUAAAUCCGAUAGAACAUUGGAUAGAGAGAAGAGGUGACCAAAUUCCUUUAAAGAGAAUAUACAGAACCUCUGCAGGAAGAUUAGUAGCUUUAGAUUGGGAACAACCAGCGGCAGAAGAUUUAGGUUUUGAAAGAAUACAUGGAAUAACUUGUUUUUGUGGAUGCAUUAGAAUUUUUCGUUCAGCAAGAGGGUGGCAUGUUGCGUGGGUACUAAUACAGUGUAAAGUUUGUAAGAAGAGGUGGUACCUUCUGCCAGGCAGCAGCGCUUAUGCUUUCAGUGUUAUCAGAGGCACUCUAGUGAAGUUGAUUUUGAGCCUGAGAUUUUAAUGUUUGUGUGUGGGAAGUUGCAUUUGGUACCUGAGGUUUGGGAAGUUUGGGAAGAAAACUGGGAAAGAACUGUGAGAGAGUGUGAAGAAAGGUUUGGGUAAAAGUGAGAUAAAACUAGGAGAAAGAGAUAGAAACAACAGUGGAUAAGCAGGGAGGGAGGUCGUUACCCCCCAUCCCUCAGUAGUUAUAUGGUAGGAGUAUAGCCCCCGACUCUUUCCGUUCAUUUGUCCUAUGUGCAUGAGUGAUGCUUUGUGUGUGGGCAUAAGACGAUUCCAGCCCCACACCGGCUGUGGGUUUUAGCUCAGUGCAGAUUCUGUAGAAGCUGGAGAUACUAUGAUUCUAUUUAUUUAGCAAACAGAGAUCUGUGCCCGGAGUGCUGAGAAAGCAAGGAACAUUUUGUUUUAAAACUUUUGUGUGGCAAAGAGCAUCACGUUCGUGAAAAUAGUAGUGUGCUAGAAAAUGAUUGGGAGGAACUAGUAAAGGCUUUUGAAGAAGAUUUUAAGUGGCAGCGAAGCAGGCCUGGCAGAAAGCAUAAGAGAAUUUAUAAAGAGGGGCUUAUACACUAUACAGAGUGGGUGGUGUCCAAGCUGCCAGAGGAGAGAGCUUGGUAUCAGACUAGAAAGAGCAAGAAUAAAAGAACUUGGCAGAAAAUGAAGGUGUACAUAAUGUUAGAGCGAGGGGAGAGUAGCAGAGAAUAGUGAGAAAUUUGAGAGGAACUGGUUAGAAAAGAAGAGAUGAAGAAAAGGCAAAAGCAAAGGCAAAGGUGAUGGCAGAAGUUGUAAGAAUUGUGGACAUUGUGGUUAAUAGAUUUGGGUGUUUAGUUCCCUUUUCUGCUUGGUGUUUUGUGCAGAGCUGUAACGCUUCUGUUACGUGGUGCUUGUGCAGAGUUGAAAGGCUCCUGUUUGGAGGGGACCCAUGCCCCUGUGCCUUUUGUGUUUUGUUGUGAAAAGCCAAAAUUGGCAGGUUUCAGUCCUGAGGCCAAUCUGGGGCUCCUAUCUUGUGGGGAACCCCCCCCACCAGUCUGUGGUUUAUUGUGGAGAACUAGAAUUGGCAGAUUCUGAUCUUGAAGCCAAUUCUGCAGCUACAGCCUUGUAGAGAUGGUGGUGUGCCUAUGCAGGCCUAGGUAUUUGUCAUGCAGCCUCGUCUGUGGGGGCUUUAGAGAAACUUUAAGAAAAAACGCCUGUCCUGAGUGGCCAGUGAAAGAAAAAAAAAUAAAAAAGAGAAAAAGCAAAUCAAAUGCCUGAUUCACAGACCGCAACUCUUGCAAAACUUUUAAAAGUGGUCUCACUCUCUCCACUGAAGAAUCAGUUGGAGGAAACCCCACUGAAAACCUGUAGGAAACAACAGAAGUGGUGCAACAAGCACUUCAUAGAAUAAAACCAAAACACCACUUGAAUAAGUUAAUGCAAUUAACAACUUGUUUCACUCAGACAUAUUUUUCAUUUUUUUUCAAGGAAGUUUGUUUCUUUUCUCCUUUCUAAGAAUGUCAAAUAUCCCUGCAUCGAAAAUAAAGCAGUUUGAGAGCAAGGAAACUGCAAGCAGCAAAAUCAUGCCUAAAUGUGAUAACCAUUGCUUCAUUGUCACUUUGUGUUAGCCCCAAAAGGUUUUACUUUUUAAUAAUCAGUCUAGUGGGCCAAAUUUUCACUUUUCUUUUAUAGGAAUCUACCAACACAGGACAUAGAACUGUAUGAAAACCAAUUAAAUUUAAAGUGUCAUCAUAAUUGCUUGCAUUGUGAGUUUGUUAAUGUUUGUAAUUUGUUUGUGUUUUCAUUGCAAGUGACUUGGUGGGAGAUCAAGUAGUAGUUAAAGCAUUCUACAUAUUGUUGAGUUUAACUUUCGUCUAACUUGUUUUGUCUUUUUACUGAAAAAUGUUGUAGCUAAAGUCUUAUAGAUGUAUAAUUUGUCUCAACCAAUAUUAUCCAGAGAGUUGGUAUAAAAAUUUAUACAUAUUUGAAAUCCUACAAAUAUGGACUAACCUUCCCAGCUCUGCCUCAGAAGGCUUCAAAAUUAUUAUAACCUGGCUAAAUUUUUUAGAUUUUCUUAAUUAGUGAAUUAAAGAAUCUUGACAAAACACAAGCAAAUGCUGCAUGAGAAAUGAUUGGAUCCCCCUUCCUAAACCAAGAGGGAUAGCCAUAGACUGCAGAUGGGACAUGAAUAAAACACAGAAAAGCCUUCUACCAGCUCUCAAACUAAAGUGCUGUUGAAUCUCAUGCCUUAUGUCUUAAGAAGGUAUUUUAUCUUUGCCUCACUCCUCCUAUUUAUAACACAUUCUGCAAUCUCAGAUGGGGGGUGCAGAAUGUGAUGAAGGCAAUUUAUGUUUUACAUUUCAUGUGUCUGAAUUCUAAUCUUAAUAUAAUAUUUUAGAAGUGGUGAUACAUAUUAGUAUCUUCUGUCCAGUAACAGAUUUCUUAGAGAAAAAGUAUGGCAACCUCACAGUUGUAUGAUGCAUAAGUAUAAAAGUAGUAAAGCCAAAAAUUGCCUCGUAGACAAACAUGUUGUGUUUAUAGGAGAUUCCAGAAUUCAACAGCUAUUCUAUUCAUUUAUAAAACUCAUAAAUCCUCAAGUCAAAGAAGAGGGAAAACAACCAGUUAGAAUUAAACAAUAACCCCUCAAAAAGGAAGACAGAGAAAGAAUUAGCCCAAUAAUUGAAAAAUUCUUACAGUUAGGACUGUUAAAAGAGUGCCAGUCUGAUUUUAACACUCCUAUCCUGCCUGUCUGCAAACCUGAUGGGUCCUACCGAAUGGUACAGGAUUUACGGGCUGUUAACAAGAUAACUGAAGAUCUCUAUCCUGUGGUGGCAAACCCUUACACUCUGUUAACAUGUUUAACACCAGAGCUAACUUGGUUUACCGUUUUAGAUUUAAAGGAUGCCUUCUUUUGCCUCCCUCUCCAUGAAGCCAGCCAGAAAAUUUUUGCAUUUGAAUAGGAAAGCCCUAAGAGUGGGCGCAAAACCCAGCUCACAUGGACGGUGUUGCCUCAGGGAUUUAAGAACAGUCCCACCCUGUUUGGAGAACAGCUCGCAAAAGACAUAGAGUCCUGGGAAGCCCCACCAGGAGAAGGGAAGCUAUUGCAGUACGUGGAUGAUCUCCUAAUAGCUACCCGAACAGAAGAAGCUUGCACAGCCUGGACGGUAAGCCUCUUAAACUUCCUGGGACUCCAAGGGUACAGGGUAUCUAAGAAAAGGCUCAGGUGGUGAAACAAAAAGUGAUCUACCUGGGCUAUGAAGUCAGUGCCGGGCAACGAACUUUGGGGCAAGAUCGCAAAGAAGCGAUAUGCCACACCCCGAAACCCCAGACAGUGAAAGAGUUUCGGACUUUUCUGGGGAUGACAGGGUGGUGCAGACUGUGGAGUUACAAUUACGGGCUGCUCGUGAAGCCACUAUAUGAACUCAUUACAAAGGAAAGCAGAGCUCUCCAGUGGACAAAGGAGGCCACGCGGGCCUUCAACCAGCUGAAGAAUGCCCUCAUGUCAGCUCCAGCUCUAGGACUUCCAGACGUGAGUAAGCCAUUCUUUCUAUUUUCCCAUGAGAAACAAGGGAUCGCCCUGGGAAUACUAGCACAGGACCUGGGCCCAUACCAACGGGCAGUUGCCUAUUUCUCUAAGCAGCGAGAUGCAGCAGCCAAAGGAUGGCCUGGGUGCCUCAGAGCUGUUGCAGCAGUCGUGCUAAACAUCCAGGAAGCACACAAAUUCACCUUGGGCCAGAAAAUGACUCUGCUGGUGUCCCACACAGUGUCCAUGGUGCUAGAAAUGAAAGGUGGGCACUGGCUCUCCCCACAAAGGUUCCUGAAAUAUCAAGCUAUCAUGGUAGAACAAGAUGAUGUAGAAAUAGUGGUAACUAACAUUGUCAACCCAGCUUCCUUUCUCAGUGGAAAUCAAGGGGAACCGGUACGCCAUGAGUGCCUGGAGACUAUCGAAGCCCCCUACUCCAGCCGCCUAGACCUGAAGGAUACUCCUUUAGACGAUGCAGAAACCUGGUUUACCGAUGGGAGCAGCUAUGUCAUCAGUGGAAAGCGGCAUGCUGGGUAUGCAGUUACCACCUGCCGCGAGGUGAUAGAAUCUGGACCCCUGCCAACAAACACCUCUGUGCAGAAGGCUGAAAUAAUCGCCCUAACCCGUGCCUUAGAGAUGGCAAACGGAAAGAAAAUAAACAUCUCUACAGACUCAAGGUCCUUUGACUCAGCUGGCGUGGGUCCACCCUCUCUCUAGACCAAAUUGCAGCCUUGGUGGUCAACAGCACCUGGAACGGACCUUCCCAUUGUGGUGAGAGGAGUCUGCUUGCUUCGGCUGCUUUUCCUUCUGCUGGAGAAAGAAAUCCCAAAGCCCGCCUUCUCUGCCGCACUCGGAGCCGGGCUGUGGCCGCCCUGCCCCAUCGUUGCUUCGAGCCUUUGCUAUGUGGUAGCCAUGCUUGCC
This is an RNA transcript of Corvus hawaiiensis (hawaiian crow), 5690 nucleotides long. RefSeq lists it as uncharacterized. The transcript is spliced from 3 exons. The record is from RefSeq and is a predicted model, not a curated record. Lineage: Eukaryota; Metazoa; Chordata; Aves; Passeriformes; Corvidae.